CAUAACACACAGAGCUGUACAAACCAGCACAAUCCAGGGGAUUGUGGAGCUUUUCCCAGCCAUGUCCGUGCUGGACCUCGCACCCUGUGCCCCUCUGUGCGAUUUGUUCUGGCUUUGCUGAGCGUCCCCGGGGCACAAAUGAGCCCUGAGAGUCCAUCAGUGCUCCGACCAUUCCCACAGAAUCCUUUCAGUUUAAGCCACAUAAACCAGAGGCAAGAAACCAGAGAGAAACCCCCCAAGCUUCUCAUACCCGAAUAAACUCGGCCUCAGCAUUAAACAUCACCGGGGAAAAGAAAUACAAGGCAUAAAAAAUACAUAUCUGCUAAUAGAAUAAAUGCACUGUGAAUAUACAAAAAUAA
Molecule: long non-coding RNA, 359 nt
Organism: Pipra filicauda (Wire-tailed manakin)
Lineage: Eukaryota; Metazoa; Chordata; Aves; Passeriformes; Pipridae
Exons: 2
Source: RefSeq, a predicted model, not a curated record